AUUACAUGCAAAAUUUAUAUAUAUUGUUAUAUUAAUUUUUACAUAAUUUUAACAAAACGACAAAAGCAAAAAAAACCGCAUGUAUAAUUCAGAAGACGCUCGCUGCAAAGUCAAAAAAACAAAUGCAAAAUACAAAGUCAAAGCAGAAAUAACAAACACAAAAAAGUUUUUUUAAACACGCUCUGACAUCAUCUGAGCAAAAAAGAAAAGGAAAUAAAUUACAACAAACAGCGGCAGCAACAAAAACAACAGAAUCAACUACAAUUGCAAUCGGCGAAGUUUUCACCCAAUUCGGCCAAUCACACAGUUUCUUUUCUUGAUUUCGGACGACAACAAAAAGGUUUUCUUCAAAAUUCACUUUUAAAAAAGACAUCAAAGCCGAAAUAAAAUAAAGAACAAUACAAAUAUAUCAAAUCAAGCGCGGACAUAAUAAAACCAAGCAAUGCAACAGAAACAAUAAUAACUAUCAAAUUAAAACAACUGUUAAAAAAGAAAAAUUAGAAAAGUCCAACAAAAUUUCUGUUAGGUCUCGAAACCAGAAACGAAAAACCCUUUAAACGACGAAACAAAAGAGAACAGAAACCGACACAAGGACAUGAGUCAAUGCAAAACCUAAGCGCCAAAAUUCAAAUAGCGAAACGUCCUUUUGAAGCAUUCCACGACCUAAAUUCGAGCUGCGAAAACUUUAAACGGAACUCAAAACUCUCUAGAUCAAAUACAAAUUAUACUAAAUCCAAAAUUACUCAGUGUUUUUCGAAAGGCGAAACGUGACUUGUUUUUCGCCAAAGAGUUGUUAGAUCAACGAAAAAAAAAA
Drosophila arizonae is the source of this 814-nucleotide long non-coding RNA. The record is from RefSeq and is a predicted model, not a curated record. NCBI's taxonomy places the organism in Eukaryota, Metazoa, Arthropoda, Insecta, Diptera, Drosophilidae.